GGAGAGAUGGCUGAGUGGUCGAAAGCGGUCGCCUGCUAAGCGAUUGUAGGUUUUAUACCCUACCCCGGGUUCGAAUCCCGGUCUCUCCGCCA
This 92-nucleotide transfer RNA is filed under the name Armatimonadota bacterium. RNAcentral's name for it is "tRNA-Ser". It matches the Rfam family "tRNA". Rfam says of the family: Transfer RNA (tRNA) molecules are approximately 80 nucleotides in length. Their secondary structure includes four short double-helical elements and three loops (D, anti-codon, and T loops). The record is from RNAcentral. Lineage: Bacteria; Bacillati; Armatimonadota.